Molecule: transfer RNA, 67 nt
Filed under: Amblyomma mixtum
Lineage: Eukaryota; Metazoa; Arthropoda; Arachnida; Ixodida; Ixodidae
Description: tRNA-Met
Source: RNAcentral
AUAAAGUAAGCUAAAUAUUUAAAGCUAGUGGGUUCAUACCCCAAAAAUGAAAAAUUUUCCUUUAUUA